ACGCCGAUGGUGAAAUGGUUAUCAUACUUGCCUUCCAAGCAAGUGGUAGGGGUUCGAUUCCCCUUCGGCGUA
This is a transfer RNA of Sistotremastrum suecicum HHB10207 ss-3, 72 nucleotides long. It matches the Rfam family "tRNA". Rfam says of the family: Transfer RNA (tRNA) molecules are approximately 80 nucleotides in length. Their secondary structure includes four short double-helical elements and three loops (D, anti-codon, and T loops). NCBI's taxonomy places the organism in Eukaryota, Fungi, Basidiomycota, Agaricomycetes, Sistotremastrales, Sistotremastraceae. The record is from Rfam.